This 427-nucleotide ribosomal RNA is filed under the name uncultured bacterium. RNAcentral describes it as "bacterial SSU rRNA". It matches the Rfam family "Bacterial small subunit ribosomal RNA", at positions 356 to 774 of the family's 1533-position model. The record is from RNAcentral.
GGGGAAUAUUCCGCAAUGGACGAAAGUCUGACGGAGCAACGCCGCGUGAGUGAUGACGGUUUUCGGACUGUAAAGCUCUGUUGUUUAGGACGAAAGUGCCUGUUGCGAACAGUUACAGGUAUUGACGGUACUAAACGAGGAAGCCACGGCUAACUACGUGCCAGCAGCCGCGGUAAUACGUAGGAGACAAGCGUUAUUCGGAUUUACUGGGCGUAAAGCGCGUGCAGGCGGUCUGACAAGUUGGAUGUGAAAGCUCCUGGCUUAACUGGGAGAGGUCGUGCANAACUAUCAGACUAGAGAGUGGUAGAGGAAGGCGGAAUUCCGGGUGUAGUGGUGAAAUGCGUAGAUAUCCGGAGGAACACCAGUGGCGAAAGCGGCCUUCUGGACCAAUUCUGACGCUCAGACGCGAAAGCUAGGGUAGCGAACG